CUUGGUCAUUUAGAGGAAGUAAAAGUCGUAACAAGGUCUCCGUUGGUGAACCAGCGGAGGGAUCAUUAAAGAGUUGCAAAACUCCCAACCAUUGCUAAACAACCACUGUUUCUUCGGCGGGUGGCCGCAUGGCCGCGCGCACCCCUCUCGGGGGGGACGCACCCCGCCGGAGCACACCAAACUCUUGUCAUUAUUGAUGCUCUGAGUAAAAAACAAAAUUAUUACAACUUUCAACAAUGGAUCUCUUGGCUCUGGCAUCGAUGAAGAACGCAGCGAAAUGCGAUACGUAAUGUGAAUUGCAGAAUCCAGUGAAUCAUCGAAUCUUUGAACGCACAUUGCGCCCGCCAGUAUUCUGGCGGGCAUGCCUGUCCGAGCGUCAUUUCAACCAUCAAGCCUAGUGCUUGUGUUGGGGCCCCGCGGCUGCCGCGGGCCCUGAAAACCAGUGGCGGGCUCAAAGUCGAACCGAGUGCAGUAAAUUUCUUCGCUUGGGAAGGUGACGAGUUCCGGCCGUAAAAAGCCCAACUUUAUCAAGGUUGACCUCGGAUCAGGUAGGACUACCCGCUGAACUUAAGCAUAUCAAUAAGCGGAGGA
RNAcentral lists this ribosomal RNA (591 nucleotides) under uncultured fungus. RNAcentral describes it as "eukaryotic LSU rRNA". The stretch from base 226 to 379 matches the Rfam family "5.8S ribosomal RNA". The record is from RNAcentral. Lineage: Eukaryota; Fungi.